GAUGAACGCUGGCGGCGUGCCUAAUACAUGCAAGUCGAGCGAACAGACGAGGAGCUUGCUCCUCUGACGUUAGCGGCGGAUGGGUGAGUAACACGUGGAUAACCUACCUAUAAGACUGGGAUAACUUCGGGAAACCGGAGCUAAUACCGGAUAAUAUAUUGAACCGCAUGGUUCAAUAGUGAAAGACGGUUUUGCUGUCACUUAUAGAUGGAUCCGCGCCGCAUUAGCUAGUUGGUAAGGUAACGGCUUACCAAGGCAACGAUGCGUAGCCGACCUGAGAGGGUGAUCGGCCACACUGGAACUGAGACACGGUCCAGACUCCUACGGGAGGCAGCAGUAGGGAAUCUUCCGCAAUGGGCGAAAGCUUGACGGAGCAACGCCGCGUGAGUGAUGAAGGUCUUCGGAUCGUAAAACUCUGUUAUUAGGGAAGAACAAAUGUGUAAGUAACUAUGCACGUCUUGACGGUACCUAAUCAGAAAGCCACGGCUAACUACGU
Molecule: ribosomal RNA, 496 nt
Filed under: uncultured bacterium
Lineage: Bacteria
Description: partial 16S ribosomal RNA
Rfam family: Bacterial small subunit ribosomal RNA
Source: RNAcentral